UACAGAGGGGGCAAGCGUUGUUCGGAAUUACUGGGCGUGAAGGGCGCGUAGGCGGCCUUCUAAGUCGAACGUGAAAUCCCUGGGCUCAACCCAGGAACUGCGUCCGAUACUGGAAGGCUUGAAUCCGGGAGAGGGAUGCGGAAUUCCAGGUGUAGCGGUGAAAUGCGUAGAUAUCUGGAGGAACACCGGUGGCGAAGGCGGCAUCCUGGACCGGCAUUGACGCUGAGGCGCGAAAGCCAGGGGAGCAAACGGG
This 253-nucleotide ribosomal RNA is filed under the name uncultured bacterium. Its description in RNAcentral is "partial 16S ribosomal RNA". It matches the Rfam family "Bacterial small subunit ribosomal RNA", at positions 524 to 776 of the family's 1533-position model. The record is from RNAcentral.